GUCCACGCCCUAAACGAUGUCAACUAGGUGUUGGGGAAGGUGACUUCCUUAGUACCGCAGCUAACGCGUGAAGUUGACCGCCUGGGGAGUACGGCCGCAAGGUUAAAACUCAAAGGAAUUGACGGGGACCCGCACAAGCGGUGGAUGAUGUGGAUUAAUUCGAUGCAACGCGAAAAACCUUACCUACCCUUGACAUGCCAGGAACUCUGCUGAGAGGUGGAGGUGCCCGAAAGGGAGCCUGGACACAGGUGCUGCAUGGCUGUCGU
RNAcentral lists this ribosomal RNA (266 nucleotides) under uncultured bacterium. RNAcentral describes it as "partial 16S ribosomal RNA". It matches the Rfam family "Bacterial small subunit ribosomal RNA", at positions 793 to 1055 of the family's 1533-position model. The record is from RNAcentral.